Molecule: long non-coding RNA, 1453 nt
Organism: Ziziphus jujuba (common jujube)
Lineage: Eukaryota; Viridiplantae; Streptophyta; Magnoliopsida; Rosales; Rhamnaceae
Exons: 3
Source: RefSeq, a predicted model, not a curated record
AUUUGUUUCUUUCAUUUCUUUUUCUUUUUUUUUCUUUUUUUUCCCGCUUUUUACUAAAUCAGAAGGAUAAUUAAGAAGAAUUUAUUGGUUUAAUAAUAAGUUCUCUUCCUCUUUAUGUGGUGGGGGAGGCGUAGCUGUUUUGAGCCUUUGUGGGGUAACCAGUACUACCAUCAAGUCUUCCUUGUUAGAUCCUAGUUGAAAUUACACCUCCGUGACAACACAAGAAAAAAAAAAAAAAAAAAAAAAGAAGAAAUGGUGGGCUUCCUAACAUCUCAACAAAACAUAUGAUGUUAUGUGUCCCUAAUCAUUUUAAGGCAUGAUUAGGAGUCAGUUUAACAAAAAAAAAUAAAAAAGACAUGUGUGGUCAAAGUCAAGUCACGUGUUUGACGACACAUAAUCCACCAUUCUAGUAAUGUGAUUAGCAAGUCGCCGGGGGCAAAGCUUUAAGAUGUGACUAAGAGUGUGCCUUGGAUGAGGUUUUGUCGCCCAACGAAGCAAAUGGAGAUGUUAUUAGUUUAGAAAAAGGCUUUUUCACUCUUGAGACAUGUCUAGACCCUUCUGGCAUUAAUUUGAAAUUGCAGUAGGCAUUGUGAAACCAGAUUAGGAAACCAUACAAUUGACCCCACCCACCCUACUACAUUAAUCUACAAUUGACCUCUUCUUUACGCUGACUACUUCAAUAUUAGUGAGAUGAGAACCACCGAGAAAGGAAACUCGGAAAAUAAAUUAUAUCACUACAAAUUAAACAAGGGUUAUGGUCAUUUGGUUGUGAUCAACUCGUACUACUGUACUUGUCUUGUUGAUUUGGUGAACUGCUGACUAAAGGUGCGACCUCGGGAUACUUGGCACUGCAAAACAGUUUUCUUGUUAAAGACAAUCAGAACAAUCUUGCUUGGAACAUCAUGAUUUACGUUUUUUGGAUGCUUUUCACAUAUCUGCACUGUUUCUCCAUAUAUAUGUCAUGAUGUUAGGAGCUGAUUAUGCUCACAACACUAGAAGUUAAUUUUGUAUUAUGGUUUCUAAUAGAGUUAGAUUUAUAGUAUACAAUUCAAUGAUAUAUUUUCCAGAUCUUUGUUCCAUUUUAACAUGCACAAAAACCAAAGCUUUGUCGAUGGACAAGAGAGGAUUAGAAUCUUCCCUUAUAAUGAUUUGAGUUUACCUGCAAUCUAUGCCCUCAAAUAUGUGCAAGAAUGUUAAGCCUGCCCCAUUUCCUGACUGGCAAAUCCCCAUCCAGCCCCGGUUUAAAAAACCGGGUACGAGGGAUGUCGCCUCAGUCCCAGCCUUGAUCCACCCCAUUGCCAUCUCUAGAUAAACUAUCAGCCCGAAACACGGAGGAACAAAAAUUAUCAGCACAAAUUAAAGAAAAGAUGGGAAUAAAGUGGAUAUGAUACAACACCUUAAAAAGACAAAAAUGGAUAUGAUACAACACCAAUCAAUACAUUUUUUGCAUCUU